RNAcentral lists this ribosomal RNA (465 nucleotides) under uncultured bacterium. RNAcentral describes it as "partial 16S ribosomal RNA". It matches the Rfam family "Bacterial small subunit ribosomal RNA", at positions 338 to 795 of the family's 1533-position model. The record is from RNAcentral.
CCUACGGGAGGCAGCAGUGGGGAAUAUUGCGCAAUGGGCGAAAGCCUGAUGCAGCGACGCCGCGUGAGGGAUGAAGGUCUUCGGAUCGUAAACCUCUGUCAGCAGGGAAGAACGGUCACUGUGCUAAUCAGCAGUGAAUUGACGGUACCUGCAAAGGAAGCACAGGCUAUCUCCGUGCCAGCAGCCGCGGUAAUACGGAGGGUGCGAGCGUUAAUGGGAAUUACUGGGCGUAAAGCGCUCGCAGGCGGGAUGUCAAGUCAAGGGAGAAAUCCCCGCGCUCCACGUGGGAACUGCCUUUGAAACUGGCAAAGUGGAGUGUGUGGGAGGAUAGUGGAGUUCCAGGUGUAGGAGGGCAAGCCGUAGAUAUCUGGAGGAACAUCAGUGGCGAAGGCGACUAUCUGGCACAUAACUGACGCUGAGGAGCGAAAGCGUGGGUAGCAAACAGGAUUAGAUACCCCAGUAGUC